RNAcentral lists this ribosomal RNA (253 nucleotides) under uncultured bacterium. RNAcentral describes it as "partial 16S ribosomal RNA". It matches the Rfam family "Bacterial small subunit ribosomal RNA", at positions 524 to 776 of the family's 1533-position model. The record is from RNAcentral.
UACGUAGGGUGCGAGCGUUGUCCGGAAUUACUGGGCGUAAAGAGCUCGUAGGUGGUUUGUCGCGUUGUCCGUGAAAACUCACAACUCAAUUGUGGGCGUGCGGGCGAUACGGGCAGACUGGAGUACUGCAGGGGAGACUGGAAUUCCUGGUGUAGCGGUGGAAUGCGCAGAUAUCAGGAGGAACACCGGUGGCGAAGGCGGGUCUCUGGGCAGUAACUGACGCUGAGGAGCGAAAGCGUGGGGAGAGACCAGG